Molecule: ribosomal RNA, 508 nt
Filed under: uncultured bacterium
Lineage: Bacteria
Description: partial 16S ribosomal RNA
Rfam family: Bacterial small subunit ribosomal RNA
Source: RNAcentral
GACGAACGCUGGCGGCGUGCUUAACACAUGCAAGUCGAACGGGCCUUGUCCCCUUUUUUUUUGGGGGGGGGGGUAGUGGCGAACGGGUGAGUAACAAGUGAGUAACCUGCCCCUCACUUCUGGAUAAACGCUUGAAAGGGGGGCUAAUACGGGGGGGUCUGGCCUGCUCGGAUGGGGUGGGUUGGGAAAGUUCGGCCGGGUUUUGUUGGUUUGGGGGGGGGUGGGGUCGCGGCCUAUCAGCUUGGUGGUGGGGGGAUGGCCUGCCAAGGCUUUGACGGGUAGCCGGCCUGAGAGGGUGGGCGGUCACACUGGGACUGAGACACGGCCCAGACUCCUACGGGAGGCAGCAGUGGGGAAUAUUGCACAAUGGGCGCAAGCCUGAUGCAGCGACGCCGCGUGAGGGAUGGAGGCCUUCGGGUUGUGAACCUCUUUCGCCAGUGAAGAAGGUCCUGCUCUUUGUGGUGGGGUUGACGGUAGCUGGGUUAAUGAAGCGCCGGCUAACUACGUG